GUGGAUAGGGAGGAGUGGAUAGUGGAAAAGAGAUGUGGAGAGUAGGAUGGUGGAAGGGGGAGGUGGAGGUGGCUAUGGCGGACGUGACUGGGUUGAGGUGGUGGUUGUGGUGGUGUUUGGUAUGGUUGGAAUGGUUGUAGAGGGUGUUGGUAGUGAUGGUGAACGUGACUGGCUUAUGUUAAAGGUGGUUGUGGUUGUUGGGGAUGGUGGUGGUUGUGUGACAGUGGUGGGUGCAGCGGACGCAACGAUGUUGUGGUUGUUGGGUGUGGUUGAGGAUUGCGAUGGUGGUGGUGGUGGAGGUGGUAGGUGGCGGUGGUCGUAGUCGGAGCGGGCUAAGUGGUGGUGGUGGUGGUGUAAAAAGGUGUUUAUCGGACGGAGUGGAAGUGGUGGUGGUGGCGGUGAUACGAUUAUCAGGGAUGAGAGAGAGAGAGAGAGAGAGAGAGAGAGAGAGAGAGAGUGUGUGUGUGUGUGUGUGUGUGUGUGUGUACUCCUAUAAUCAGCAAAUUGCAGUCACUCGUUCGCUGUUUCACCUCCCUGUUUCAGGCCUUCUCUCCCCUUCCCUUCCUCCUCGCUCCCUUCCUAGCCUGCCCGCCACCCUCUCCCCGCUUUUCCCUGCCUGUCCUCCCCUGCUCCUCGUGUCCCAGGUGACCCAUGAACUACCUCUAACAAUGGUGAUGAAGAACCAGAAGUGGGUUGUAGGUGACGAGAUAACUAUCCCAGGUCAUCCCGGAAGUGGCGAGGUGACCCCAUACAGCUCCACAAGGUCGUGGAGGACGCCAGACAUAGCCACGUGGUCGCCUACACUCAGCCAUCCACCUCACCUGCCCCAGACUGCUACCCGGACACCAUCCAGCCACAAGAACCCAGAUAAGCACUUCCGGGGUCCUUGGUUGUGGUUAGCUAGCUAGUUUGUUUAGGGGUCACUUGCUGUACAUAGGAACCCUCCUCGGUCUGAUGCUAUUUUUUUUCAUUUUUAUUUUUGAGGUGUAACGCUGUCCUCUACGUGAGAGUGAUAGUGUUUAUCUUUAUUUAUUUAUUUUUUUUUUUCCUGAAGACCAGCUCUGAGGUUAUCUUGGAGGUUAACGGAGAAGAGCUCUUCACACCUGUGUUUGUUGUUUUAUUUUAUUUUUUUAUUGGUCACUUUUUGUUUUUUGUUGUGAUUGUUAUUAAUUUUAUUUAUUUGUAUUGAAAUAUGUGAGUGUGAAUGCAGCACAAUAUAUAAAGGUGUGCAUUCCAGAGUGAAAGGAAGGCGUGCACAGGGUAGAGUGCACAGGAUGCAGUGCCUUGUUUUUAUCACCAGACCUUGAUUGACUGAAGCAAAUGAAAACUUUGGUGUGAGUACCUUACAAAGACACUUGACAAUACUAAUGUCACCUCACCUCGUGGUUUCACCUUAAACCUACAAACAUUGGCUGGACACAAGGUCAUAGAAAUAAUUUAUUCUCAUUUAUUCUCAUCUUUACAAAUUACAGUCUUUACACAUCAAAGUAACUAAUCACCUUUAUUCAUCCACUUGAGGGGGUUGAAGGAUCGCUAAUCCCAUAUUAAAUUGCCUGUGUUCAACUCGCCUCUCCUCCCUCAUUUAUUGACCAAUUCAUUUAAAAAAUAUUUUGAUCAGGAAGGUUGCAAGAAGGAUGUCUGCUAUCUUUUUUUUUUUUUUUGUACGAUAAGUUUUUUUUUUCAAUGAAAAAGUAAAAAAAAAACUGUCAAAUAUUUACUUUCAAAUAUUUGUCAGAAAUCAAAAUCAGUUACAAACAAAAAUGACGACAGCAGAAUUUGUUCGCCUCUCACAGCUUGAUAAGCCGCAAUGGCCCAUCUGUGUGUAACACCAAUAACAACGGAGAUCAUUUUUAUAUGCCAAAAUCCGCCAUUUUAAGUUAUGUCAAAGUUUAAGGGAUGACUAUAAUACACCUAUUGCAGCUAAGGACUUGAAAUUCACAUGAUAUAUACAUCACAAUAUGUUGAAAAACAGAUAUAGAUUAAUUUAGUUACUACGAUCGGUUUUGUACAUAGGCCUAAAGUAAUUCAUGAUUUCACCCUUAAUUACCCGGGGGGGAGGGGGGAAGGCGGGUGAAAACAAUUUUUGUUAUAUUUCGACUUUUAGAUCAAAACCAGUGUUUAACUGUUUGAAAUAAAUAAAAUAUUAAUGCAAAAGAUAUCUAAUGCAGACACAUUGACUAUUUCCUAGAUUUACGGAAAAAUAUUUAUCUCAUUUUUCGUAUAUAAAUUUGAAAAAAAUAGUUAGACCUAAAAUCACGUACUCUCUAAUGUUGUCCGCAGCAAAAGAACCAUAGAUAUUCAUAGGAGACUGAGGAAGAACGGGUACGCCAGAAAGAAAAAAAAAAAAAAAGUCAUGUCUCGCAGCGGGCGAAACCGUGAAAUUUCAUAACAGAA
This is a long non-coding RNA of Scylla paramamosain (green mud crab), 2394 nucleotides long. RefSeq lists it as uncharacterized. The transcript has 2 exons. Lineage: Eukaryota; Metazoa; Arthropoda; Malacostraca; Decapoda; Portunidae. The record is from RefSeq and is a predicted model, not a curated record.